AGGACGAACGCUGGCGGCGUGCUUAACACAUGCAAGUCGAGGGGGCGUAGCAAUACGUCACCGGCGAACGGGUGCGUAACACGUGAGCAACCUGCCACAGAGUGGGGGAUAGCCGGCCCAACGGCCGGGUAAUACCGCAUACGAUCUUCUGGGGACAUCCCUGGGAGAUGAAAGAUUUAUCGCUCUGUGAGGGGCUCGCGGCCUAUCAGCUAGUUGGUGCGGUAACGGCGCACCAAGGCGACGACGGGUAGC
This 252-nucleotide ribosomal RNA is filed under the name uncultured soil bacterium. RNAcentral's name for it is "partial 16S ribosomal RNA". It matches the Rfam family "Bacterial small subunit ribosomal RNA", at positions 26 to 287 of the family's 1533-position model. The record is from RNAcentral.